RNAcentral lists this ribosomal RNA (468 nucleotides) under uncultured bacterium. RNAcentral describes it as "partial 16S ribosomal RNA". It matches the Rfam family "Bacterial small subunit ribosomal RNA", at positions 28 to 507 of the family's 1533-position model. The record is from RNAcentral.
GACGAACGCUGGCGGCGUGCUUAACACAUGCAAGUCGAACGGAAAGGCCCUGCUUUUGUGGGUUGCUCGAGUGGCGAACGGGUGAGUAACACGUGAGUAACCUGCCCUUGACUUUGGGAUAACUUCAGGAAACUGGGGCUAAUACCGGAUAUGAGCUCCUGCUGCAUGGUGGGGGUUGGAAAGUUUCGGCGGUUGGGGAUGGACUCGCGGCUUAUCAGCUUGUUGGUGGGGUAGUGGCUUACCAAGGCUUUGACGGGUAGCCGGCCUGAGAGGGUGACCGGCCACAUUGGGACUGAGAUACGGCCCAGACUCCUACGGGAGGCAGCAGUGGGGAAUAUUGCAGAAUGGGCGGAAGCCUGAUGCAGCAACGCCGCGUGCGGGAUGACGGCCUUCGGGUUGUAAACCGCUUUCGCCUGUGACGAAGCGUGAGUGACGGUAAUGGGUAAAGAAGCACCGGCUAACUACGUG